CCUUUUUUCAUUGCUGGUAUUCCUUUCAAAAACAGUUUGCUAUUACUGAAGUGUCCAGAGUCAGCAAAAUCUUUUAUUUCUGCCAGAUAAACAAGCUUUCUCUUGCCCUUCUGUGUCUUUCCUGUUUGUUUGUCACGCACUUCCUCCUCCCGUCUGAUUUCUCGACUCUCUCCCUUUAGUUCCACACGUUGAUUCACUGUCGGAGGUUGUGCUAAGUCGAGCAGAGCAGGUUCGGUUAUGGGAAAAGUCCUUGGCAAAGCCGGAACAACUUGUUUGUUUUUGCCUCCCUGUUCUGCAUUUUUGGUACAGACGUCUCUGAGGGAGCUGGGAUUAUACAGUUUCCUAUGGGCGGCUCCAACUAUUUGUGGUUUGCAACACGCUUCUGCAAAGGCUGUUGUGGCUGCUUAG
RNAcentral lists this long non-coding RNA (408 nucleotides) under Podarcis muralis (Common wall lizard). Its description in RNAcentral is "lncRNA (ENSPMRG00000004186.1)". The record is from RNAcentral. Lineage: Eukaryota; Metazoa; Chordata; Lepidosauria; Squamata; Lacertidae.